AGAUUGAACGCUGGCGGCAUGCCUUACACAUGCAAGUCGAACGGUAACGCGGGGGCAACCCUGGCGACGAGUGGCGAACGGGUGAGUAAUACAUCGGAACGUACCCAGUAGUGGGGGAUAGCUCGGCGAAAGCCGGAUUAAUACCGCAUACGACCUAUGGGUGAAAGCGGGGGAUCGAAAGACCUCGCGCUAUUGGAGCGGCCGAUGUCGGAUUAGCUAGUUGGUGAGGUAAAGGCUCACCAAGGCUACGAUCCGUAGCUGGUCUGAGAGGACGACCAGCCACACUGGGACUGAGACACGGCCCAGACUCCUACGGGAGGCAGCAGUGGGGAAUUUUCCGCAAUGGACGAAAGUCUGACGGAGCAACGCCGCGUGCAGGAGGAAGGUUUUCGGAUCGUAAACUGCUUUUCUCGGGGACGAGCAAGGGACGGUACCCGAGGAAGAAGCCCCGGCUAACUACGUGCCAGCAGCCGC
RNAcentral lists this ribosomal RNA (474 nucleotides) under uncultured bacterium. RNAcentral describes it as "SSU rRNA". It matches the Rfam family "Bacterial small subunit ribosomal RNA", at positions 26 to 518 of the family's 1533-position model. The record is from RNAcentral.